Molecule: ribosomal RNA, 911 nt
Filed under: Priceomyces fermenticarens
Lineage: Eukaryota; Fungi; Ascomycota; Pichiomycetes; Serinales; Debaryomycetaceae
Description: LSU rRNA
Rfam family: Eukaryotic large subunit ribosomal RNA
Source: RNAcentral
UAGCAUAUCAAUAAGCGGAGGAAAAGAAACCAACAGGGAUUGCCUUAGUAACGGCGAAGUGAAGCGGCAAAAGCUUCAAAUUUGAAAUCUGGCAUCUUCGGUGUCCGAGUUGUAAUUUGAAAGAUUGAAAGGUUCAUUGGGUCUUGUCUAUGUUCCUUGGAAUAGGACGUCACAGAGGGUGAGAAAUCCCGUGCGAUGAGAUUCCGUAUUGUAACCUUCUUUCGACGAGUCGAGUUGUUUGGGAAUGCAGCUCUAAGUGGGUGGUAAAUUCCAUCUAAAGCUAAAUAUUGGCGAGAGACCGAUAGCGAACAAGUACAGUGAUGGAAAGAUGAAAAGAACUUUGAAAAGAGAGUGAAAAAGUACGUGAAAUUGUUGAAAGGGAAGGAUAUGAGAUCAGACUUGGUAUUUUGCAACCUUACUCUCGUGGUGGGGCCCCUGCAGUUUACUGGGCCAGCAUCAAUUUGGAUGAUGGGAUAAUGACUCAGGAAUGUAGCUCUAUUUUUUGUGGAGUGUUAUAGCCUGUGUUGAUACCGUCUAUCUAGAUUGAGGACUGCGUCUUUUGACAAGGAUGUUGGCAUAAUGAUCUUAUAUCACCCGUCUUGAAACACGGACCAAGGAGUCUAACGUCUAUGCGAGUGUUUGGGUGUAAAACCCGUACGCGUAAUGAAAGUGAACGUAGGUGAGAGCUCUUUGAGUGCAUCAUCGACCGAUCCUGAUGUUCUCGGAUGGAUUUGAGUAAGAGCAUAGCUGUUGGGACCCGAAAGAUGGUGAACUAUGCCUGAAUAGGGUGAAGCCAGAGGGAAACUCUGGUGGGAGGCUCGUAGCGAUUUCUGACGUGCAAAUCGAUCGUCGAAAUUUGGGUAAUAGGGCGAAAGACUAAUCGAACCAUCUAGUAGCUGGGUUCCUGCCGA